This is an RNA transcript of Mytilus californianus (California mussel), 1281 nucleotides long. It is a transcript of the gene named succinate--CoA ligase [ADP/GDP-forming] subunit alpha, mitochondrial-like, with no coding region annotated. The record is from RefSeq and is a predicted model, not a curated record. The transcript is spliced from 10 exons. Lineage: Eukaryota; Metazoa; Mollusca; Bivalvia; Mytilida; Mytilidae.
UUUAGUCAACAUUUCAUGCUUCCGGUUUUUCACGAUGUCGACUGCCAGAAAAGUCCUUGGCAAAGUUUCUGCUAUUGGCAGAGUAGGAAUCAGACACUGUUACACAAACUCACGACCUAACCUGCUGGUCAACAAACAUACAAAGGUCAUAUGCCAAGGAUUUACAGGCAAACAGGGAACAUUUCACAGUCAGCAAGCUCUUGAAUAUGGCACUAAAAUGGUUGGAGGUGUGUCUCCAGGAAAAGGAGGACAAAAACAUCUUGGACUUCCUGUGUUCAACUCUGUUCAAGAGGCAAGAGAUCAGACCAAUGCAGAUGCCUCUGCCAUCUACGUCCCUCCACCAUUUGCUGCUGCAGCAAUCAUUGAAGCAAUAGAAGCAGAAGUACCAUUAAUUGUUUGUAUAACUGAGGGUAUCCCACAGCAGGACAUGGUUAAAGUCAAACAUAAACUCAUCCGUCAGUCUAAAUCCAGAUUAGUAGGUCCCAACUGUCCUGGAAUUAUAAAGCCUGGUGAAUGUAAGAUUGGUAUCAUGCCAGGACAUAUACAUAAAAGAGGGAAAAUAGGCAUUGUUUCAAGGUCUGGUACCUUAACAUAUGAAGCAGUACACCAGACAACAAUGGCUGGACUAGGACAAUCACUGUGUGUUGGUAUUGGUGGAGAUCCUUUUAAUGGAACUAAUUUUAUUGAUUGUUUAGAAGUUUUCCUAUCAGAUCCACAAACAGAAGGAAUAGUAUUGAUUGGAGAGAUUGGUGGUGGAGCAGAAGAAAAAGCAUCUGAAUAUCUUAGGAAUAAUAACUCUGGACCAAAUGCCAAACCAGUUAUAUCCUUCAUUGCUGGAGUAACAGCACCCCCAGGACGUAGGAUGGGACAUGCAGGAGCUAUCAUUGCUGGUGGUAAAGGUGGAGCGGAGGAGAAGAUCGAGUCAUUGAGAGAAGCUGGUGUAGAUGUAACCAUGUCUCCAGCUCAACUAGGAACUACUAUGGCUAAGGUAAUAAUUGUACUAGGGGGGAUUACAUGGUGUAGAUGUAACCAUGUCUCCAGCUCAACUAGGAACUACUAUGGCUAAGGUAAUAAUUGUACUAGGGGGGAUUACAUGGUGUAGAUGUAACCAUGUCUCCAGCUCAACUAGGAACUACUAUGGCUAAGGCUAUGAAGGCAGCAGGGAAGUGACAAGUCAGACCCCUAAAGACAUUUAUAGACAUUCAUUAAUAAUUUAGACAAAGAUUUUCUUGAUUGUUAUAUUUAUGAAUUAUGUGAUAAAUAAACUUAAUAUUUAGAUGA